UUAAAGGACGGGUUGGGAGCGGGAGCACUCUAAGGGAACGGGUUCGAAAGGUGCACGAGCAGCGCGGCUGCUGCACCUCGGGAACGAGACUCCAGGGGACAAGAGCGCAGGGGACGCCCCGGGAAGCGCCUCGCAGCCGCGGGAGGCGCGACACCCGGGAGGCGCCGGGGCGCAGGCGGGACAAAAGUGUCCGAGCCUUCUCUCCCUCCCCACCCUCAGCGCCCGAACCCCGGGCUGGUGAGCGCGACCCCUGCCCCGACCCCUCGCCCAGCCCAGCCCGCGCGAUUACUAAGGAGACACGGCCUCCGGCGCUGCCGUCCCGCGCCGUUUGAAAACGGAUCCAUCAGCGGAUACCGGGCGUUAAAAGGGGUUUCUCUGAAGGGACUUGUGGGAAAGGACAAAAGCGAGCGGCCCCAUUCAGCUGACCAGUCAAAGGCACUAAAUGGGAACAUCAAAAGGCGCCCCAACUAGGAAUACGGAUCCAAUCGCUAGAGAAAGGAACCUGGUUUCUUUUCUUGGCCGCAACACGGCUGAAAAGCCCUAAAGCAAAUAGGCAAAGAAUGCAGAGGGGGCAGAAAGGAAAAAUAAAGAAACAAUCUCAUGAAUGAGUUUUCUUGGGCUUUGGAGGAGAGAAGUGACAACUUCCUAAGCGCCGUUGGGGGCCGGGCGGCGGGGACCGCAGCCGCUGGGACCCGCACUGAGCGCAUCUCUAGCCCUGCGCCGUGGCUGUUUCCGCGUGCUCCUAGGAGAGGCUCCCUUUUUGUGCGCAAUUCCCCGUUCUAUUUAAGGUGGCAAGGUAGAGGAAGAAAGGGACAGUAGGGCGCGCAGCUCGAGGCCAAGGUUCGCGAGCAGCUUUUCUGCGGGGCAGGUUGUGUUUUGAACCCCGGCGCCCCAUCUGUCCGACCCGGCCAUCGCGCCCCGUUCUUCCCUCCACGUUAUCGUUUCCCCAACCUGGUGACUUGGGGUGUUUGAGUUCAAUUUUCUGCCAGCCGAGAACGAACAGGCUUGGCAAGCCAAACCACUUUUAGAACCCCGUUUGUUCACUCCUAUCCACUCCUUGUUCCGCUCCCGGUUCCUCGCACAAGGGAAUCGCUUUCUUAACGUAGCCAAGUUUGUUCCUCUGCUCAGAGCCAGGAGGGAAGUGCAGUCUGACGCUUCCCCGCUUCCCCAGUCUUUGGGGUCAGAGACUGGCUGUGGGCUGAGCCACGGCUUUACGGGAUAGCGGUACCGACUCAGGCGGCUCCCACUAGGGAGGGAAUCCGUCCGUGAGUUCGCGCCCCGAAGAAGGGUGCAGGACGCCGCGAGGGGGUAGGUGUCGGCAGGCCGUGGCAGCCCGGGCUUUGGCCUGCCUGGCCCGGCUGACUUUUGUCUCAGUGUGUUCUGUAAAAUUGUGACAGGUUGUUAGCACAGGAGGGGCCUGAAGGUCAUCGAAAGUGCCGCAUGCUCGGGGCCCAGCACGCUGUGGUAACCCAUUCCUCGGUGGGGCCCAAAGCGCUGGUCUGAGCGCGCGGCCCGCAGUUCUCCAGCACCUGCUCAGGAGUGGGGUCUGGCCUUGGCCUCCCCACACCCAGUAGCCGCCUGAGACAAGUGACAGGCCAGGGAGGCGACAGGAAGGGUUUCAGCACCGGAGCUCAGGGGGAGAGGGAAUUCUUUCCGCGCGCUGAGCGAGGCGGUUUCUAGAUUUUUCCACGCCCGGUUGCGGCUCGGCCCCCAAGCUGACGCCCCAAGAAGCCGGAUUGGGGGCCGUGGAAGCAGAACAACGGGUGCGAGCUGAUUUGCUCUCACCGAAAAUAUCUAGACGGGGGAAUCUAUUCAGAGGCCAUGAUCCUCAAAUGGUUGCUCAAUUCAAGAAGAGCUCCUCGAUUCAAGAAAAGCUUCUCGAGACAGAGUUAACAGCCCCCCAACGGGCAGGUUUCGCCAGGCUUGGUGGUUCGUUAAAACAGUCAGCACAAGAGUAGGGUGCAAGAGGCCAAGUAUCCGCUUGGAGCUUUGGGGAGCCCCUCCUCCCCCAGGUCGGUAGAGGGGGAAAACCCCUGCCUUUUGUUUGUGGGUGAGGGAUGCGCAUUGUGGCAGCAGCCGAGCAAAGGGGGGAAAUUAAUUGCAGCCAAUUAAUAAUUAAUCCCCUUUAAACAACUUUAUUAUCUCUUCCGAACGACAGGGAUUUGUCUGAUAACCCCCCGAAGACCAAAUGUCAAGUUUAACCAAAUAGUUAUUGCUUUAUCAACCCGAGU
RNAcentral lists this long non-coding RNA (2231 nucleotides) under Lynx pardinus (Iberian lynx). Lineage: Eukaryota; Metazoa; Chordata; Mammalia; Carnivora; Felidae. The record is from RNAcentral.